AGCUGCCAAUGAUGAUAACAAGCAAGAAAGUCAAAAAGAGAAUCCGUGUCUGGUCUCGGAGUCCUCCUUGCAACUUGAACCUAGUGUUCGAUCAGAUUCUAAUUCGAAUAAUUUUGGUUCUAGUGACGAGGAUUUCAAGCAAGAGUGCUCAAGAACGGCACCGCGAAGGCUUGCUUCUGGGAAUAGCCGGGCAUGGAGGCCAGAUGAUGCAUUUCGCCCACAGAGUCUGCCUAAUUUGUCAAAGCAGCGGAGCUUUCCAAAUGCAGAGAGGCAUUAUGGACAGGGUGGACUACCGUGGCAUUGUUCAAAUCCUGUUAACGUGCCUUCUUCCUGUCCUAUAUGUUGCGAGGAAUUGGAUGUAACAGAUACGAGUUUCUUGCCCUGCAUAUGC
This 391-nucleotide unclassified non-coding RNA is filed under the name Hevea brasiliensis (rubber tree). The record is from RNAcentral. Lineage: Eukaryota; Viridiplantae; Streptophyta; Magnoliopsida; Malpighiales; Euphorbiaceae.